Long non-coding RNA from Camarhynchus parvulus, 3972 nucleotides. NCBI's taxonomy places the organism in Eukaryota, Metazoa, Chordata, Aves, Passeriformes, Thraupidae. The record is from Ensembl.
GGGUCACAGGGAUGGGAUUUCCGAGCAUUGGGGUCCCUGGGACCCGCACGGGGCUGGCAGCGGGGUCGGGCUGGCGCCGUGUUCCUGUGUGUGACACACCUGGCUCUGUGGGGUCACACCUGGCUCUGUGGGGUCACACCUGGCUCUGUGGGGUCACACAUGGCUCUGUGGGGUCACAGGGUGGCUCUGUGGGUCACAGGGUGGCUCUGUGGGGUCACACCUGGCUCUGUGUGACACACCUGGCUCUGUGGGGUCACAGGGAUGGGAUUUCCGAGCACUGGGGUCCCGGGGUCCCACGCGGGGCUGGCAGCGCGGUGGCGCUGGCGCCGUGUCCCCGCGUGUGUGACAGACUGUGAAAUGGGGCCGAUGGCGCGCGGCUGCGGCGCACCUGGGCCCUUCAGCUGUGAUUGAUUGGCCCGCUCAUGUGGAAUGGGCCCAUCUGCCGCCCGCGCGCCGCGCGCCGUGCCCGCACAACUUCCCACUGCACCCGCAUUCCGGGUUUGAUUCCGCAUUCAAAAGGUUUCGACUUUAUCGCAAUUAAAAACGGUCGUGUCCAAUUUUUCCUUUUAAUUGUCGUUACGUUUUGGAUUGGUUUGGAACGGAAAAAUGGGAUUUUUUAAGUUGGAGAAUCAAACGGGUAGAAAAAUAUAACCAUAAAAAUACAUCCAGAACGGUAUCUAAAUAUUUGCAUAUGAAUAUAGAAAAUACUAAUAUAACCAUCUAAAAUACAUCUAGAACCUUAUAAAAUACAUAUAUAAGGAUAUAUAUAAAUAUUGAUGUAUGUAUAUGAAUAUAGAAAAUAGAAAUAUAAUCAUACAAAAUAAAUAUAGAAGCAUAGAAAAUACAUCUAGAACCAUACAAAAUACAAAUAUAAACAGAUAUAGAAAUAUUUAUAUAUGUAUAUGUAUAUAGAAAAUACCAAUAUAACCAUAUAAAAUACAUACAGAACCAUAGAAAAUACAUCUAGAACCAUAUAAAAUACAUAUAUAACCAUCUAUAUAAAUAUUUAUAUAUGAAUAUAGAAAAUACAAAUAUCAUCAUAUAAAAUACAUCUAGAACUGUAUAAAAUCCAUCUAGAACCAUAUAUAUAAAUAUUUAUAUAUGUAUAUGUAUAUAGAAAAUAUAAAUAUAACCAUAGAAAAUACAUCUAGAACCAUAUAAAAAUAUUUAUAUAUGUAUAUGUAUAUGUAUAUAGAAAAUACAAAUAUAACCAUAGAAAAUAGAAAUAUAACCAUACAAAAUACAAAUAUAAGCACAUAUAUAAAUAUUUAUAUAUGCAGAUGUAUAUAGAAAAUACGAAUAUAAGCAUAGAAAAUAGAAAUAUAACCAUAUAGAAUACAUCUAGAACCAUAUAUAGAAAUAUUCAUAUAUGUAUAUAGAAAAUACAAAUAUAAUAAUAUAAAAUACAUCUAGAACCAUAUACACAAAUAUGGGUAUAUGUAUAGAUAUAUACAGAAUACAAAUAUAACCACAGAAAAUACAAAUAUAAGCAUAUAAAAUACAUCUAGAACCAUAGAAAAUACAAAUAUAAACAUAUAUAAAAAUAUUUGUAUAUGUAUAUAGAAAAUACAAAUAUAACCAUAGAAAAUACAUACAGAACCAUAUAUAUAAAUAUUUAUAUAUGUAUAUAUAUGUAGAAAAUGCAAAUAUAAUCAUAGGAAAUACAUCUAGAACUGUAUAAAAUCCAUCUAGAACCAUCAUAUACCCAAAUAUGGGUAUAUGUAUAGAUAUAUACAGAAUCCAAAUAUCACCAUAGAAAAUAAAUAUAUCACCAUAGAAAAUACACAUAUAACCAUACAAAAUAAAUAUAUCACCAUAGAAAAUACACAUAUAACCAUAGAAAAUACACGUAUAACCAUAAACACACAUGUGGAUGUAUGUAUAGAUAAAUACAAAAUACAAAUAUCACCAUAGAAAAUAGAAAUAUAAUCAUAUCAAAUAAAUAUAUAACCAUAGAAAAUAAAUAUAUCACCAUAUAAAAGACACAUAUAACCAUAUAAAAGACACAUAUAACCAUAUAGAAGACACAUAUAACCAUAGAAAAUAGAUAUAUAAUCAUAUGUAAUAAAUAUAUAACCAUAGAAAAUAAAUAUAGAACCAUAUAAAAUACAAAUAUAACUACAUAAAAUACAAAUAGAACCAUAUAUAAAAAUGUGUAUAGAUGUAUACAUAUAUACAAAAUACAAAUAUAACCAUAUAAAAUAUCAAUAUCACCAUAUAUCCAAAUAUGGAUAUAUGGAUACACAGAUACAAAAUCCAAAUAUAACCAUAGAAAAUCCAAAUAUCACCAUAGAAAAUCCAUAUAUAAUCAUAUAAAAUAAAUAUAGAACCAUAUAAAAUACAAAUAUAAGCAUAUAAAAUCCAUAUAGAGCCAUAUAUACAAAUGUAUAUGGAUGUAUACAUAUAUACAAAAUACAAAUAUAUCCAUAUAAAAUCCAAAUAGAUGCAUAGAAAAUAAAUACAGAACCAUAGAAAAUCCAAAUAUAAGCAUAGAAAAUAAAUAUAGAACCAUAUAAAAUACAAAUAUCAUCAUAGAAAAUUAAUAUAUCACCAUAUCUCCAAAUAUGGCUAUAUGGAUACAUAUAUACAAAAUAUAAAUAGAACCAGAUAAAAUAGAGAUAUAACCAGAUGAAAUGCAAAUAUAAUCAUAUGAAAUAAAUAUAGAACCGUAUAAAAUGCAAAUAUAAGCAUAUAAAAUCCAUAUAUAACCAUAUAAAAUAUAUAUAUAACCAUAUAUCCAAAUAUGGAUAUAUGUAUACAUAUAUACAAAAUAGAAAUGUAACUAUACAAAUGAAAUACAUAACCAUAUAAAAUACAAAUAAAACCAUAGAAAAUACAAAUAUAAUCAUAUAAAAUAAAUAUAGAACCAUAGAAAAUCCAAAUAGAACCAUAUAAAAUAAAUAUAUAACCAUAUAAAAUCCAUACAGAACCAUAUAAAAUAAAUAUAUAACCAUAUAAAAUCCAUAUAGACCCAUAUAUACAAAUAUGGAUAUAUGGAUACAUGUAUAGAAAAUCCAAAUAAAACCAUAGAAAAUACAAAUAUAACCAUAUAAAAUAAAUAUAUAACCAUAUAAAAUAAAUAUAGAACCAUAGAAAAUCCAAAUAGAACCAUAUAAAAUCCAUACAGAACCAUAUAAAAUCCAUAUAGACCCAUAUAUACAAAUAUGUAUAUAUGGAUACAUGUAUAGAAAAUCCAAAUAAAACCAUGGAAAAUACAAAUAGAACCAUAUAAAAUAAAUAUAGAACCAUAUAAAAUAAAUAUAGAACCAUAGAAAAUCCAAAUAGAACCAUAUAAAAUCCAUACAGAACCAUAUAAAAUCCAAGUAGAACCAUAUAUACAAAUAUGGAUAUAUGGAUACAUGUAUAGAAAAUCCAAAUAAAACCAUGGAAAAUCCAAAUAGAACCAUAUAAAAUAAAUAUAGAACCAUAUAAAAUCCAUACAGAACCAUAUAAAAUCCAAGUAGAACCAUAUAUACAAAUAUGGAUAUGUGGAUACAUGUAUAGAAAAUCCAAAUAAAACCAUGGAAAAUACAAAUAUAACUAUAUAAAAUAAAUAUAGAACCAUAGAAAAUCCAAAUAGAACCAUAGAAAAUAAAUAUAUAACCAUAUAAAAUCCAAGUAGAACCAUAUAAAAUCCAUAUAGAACCAUAUAUCCAAAUAUGGAUAUAUGUAUACAUAUAUACAAAAUAGAAAUGUAACUAUACAAAUGAAAUACAUAACCAUAUAAAAUACAAAUAGAACCAUAUAAAAUACAAAUAGAACCAUAUAAAAUAAAUAUAGAACCAUAGAAAAUCCAUACAGAACCAUAUAAAAUAAAUAUAUAACCAUAUAAAAUCCAUACAGAACCAUAUAAAAUCCAUAUAGACCCAUAUAUACAAAUAUGGAUAUGUGGAUACUUGUAUAGAAAAUCCAAAUAAAACCAUGGAAAAUACAAUUCCCGGAAUAACAAUUGGGAUCAUUGGAAUUAGGACA